GUAAGGAAUAUUGGUCAAUGGGGGCAACCCUGAACCAGCCAUGCCGCGUGAAGGAUGAAGGCGUUAUGCGUUGUAAACUUCUUUUGUAUGGGAAGAAUGACAGGGAUUCAUCCUUGGAGAGACGGUACCAUACGAAUAAGCACCGGCUAACUCCGUGCCAGCAGCCGCGGUAAUACGGAGGGUGCAAGCGUUAUCCGGAAUCACUGGGUUUAAAGGGUACGUAGGCGGUUGAUUAAGUCAGUAGUGAAAGACUGUCGCUCAAAGACGGAUGUGCUAUUGAUACUGGUUAACUUGAAGCAAGUUAGAGUUGGCGGAAUGGGUCAUGUAGCGGUGGAAUGCUUAGAUAUGACUUGGAACACCGAUAGCGAAGGCAGCUGACUGAGCCUUGAUUGACGCUGAGGUACGAAAGUGUGGGUAGCGAACAGGAUUAGAUACCCUGGUAGUCC
This 446-nucleotide ribosomal RNA is filed under the name uncultured bacterium. Its description in RNAcentral is "partial 16S ribosomal RNA". It matches the Rfam family "Bacterial small subunit ribosomal RNA", at positions 354 to 796 of the family's 1533-position model. The record is from RNAcentral.